RNAcentral lists this ribosomal RNA (422 nucleotides) under uncultured bacterium. RNAcentral describes it as "partial 16S ribosomal RNA". It matches the Rfam family "Bacterial small subunit ribosomal RNA", at positions 362 to 776 of the family's 1533-position model. The record is from RNAcentral.
UUUUGUACAAUGGGCGCAAGCCUGAACCAGCCAUGCCGCGUGAGUGAAGAAUGCAAACGAGAUACAAAACUCAUUCGGACGAAAAGAAAUCGCGCAGGCUAAUCCCCUGCGCGAUUGACGGUACCGUCAUAAGAAGCACCGGCUAACUACGUACCAGCAGCCGCGGUAAUACGUAGGGUGCGAGCGUUAUUCGGAAUUACUGGGCGUAAAGCGUGCGCAGGCGGUUGAUUAAGACAGGCGUGAAAUCCCCGGGCUUAACCUGGGAACUGCGCUUGUGACUGGUCAGCUAGAGUACGGCAGAGGGGGGUGGAAUUCCACGUGUAGCAGUGAAAUGCGUAGAGAUGUGGAGGAACACCGAUGGCGAAGGCAGCCCCCUGGGCCGAUACUGACGCUCAUGCACGAAAGCGUGGGUAGCAAACAGG